CAUUAAGAAGCUAUGAACCAGCACUAGCCUUUUAAGCUAGAGAAAGAGGAAACUUCCCUCCUUAAUGA
This 68-nucleotide transfer RNA is filed under the name Chrysolophus pictus (golden pheasant). RNAcentral's name for it is "tRNA-Lys". Lineage: Eukaryota; Metazoa; Chordata; Aves; Galliformes; Phasianidae. The record is from RNAcentral.